GGAAAAGGGUUCUGCUAAGAAACCAUCUUACUAGAUUUCCAACAAGGAUGUUGAAUGCACCAGCUGCUUGGAAGAAAUAAAAGAGAUAUAUGUGAAAUAUACAUAAACGGAUGUGCAACACGACGAGAUCCAGUAUAUGCCAGUGUUUUUCAACCUUGCAACUUUAAGAUGUGUGGACUUCAGCUCCUAGAAUUCUCCAGCCAGCCAACCAAAUACUGGUAUAUACACAUCCCAAACCCUGCUGAGUAUUUUCAGCUGAAAACAAAAGAACCACAUUCAGGAGUGCACUACCAAUUUGGAACAAUGCAGCUCCAAAUGGCUGAGGCAUGGAGACAACAUCUCCUCUUCUUUUUCCUUCCUUCUGAUUGUUGGGAUCAAGGUGGUCAAGAGAGAGAAGAGUGAUUAAUGCUACCAGGUCUGUAUUCAAAGAACUGUUUGGAGAGUGUUAAUAUCAACGCCUUUAAAUUUGCUUAUUGACACAGGAAAACACCAUCCUUCAACCAACGAAAUGAAAUUUCACAGAUUCUUACUAAAGAUCCUGGUGAGGGAAAACAAGAAAUGAUCAACACCUAGAUCUGUCUUUCCUCCUCAAUAUAGACUCUAACAGUGCCCCUAAUGAAAAAUAAGAAAAUAAACUGAGUAAAGAAAAAACAUAAAACCAUUCAUUUAUUUAUUUAGCCAUGUGGCAACAUCUUCACUGGGCCCAGAUGUGCUUUGGCCCGGUUCACAAGGCCAAAAUGUAACUAUGUGAUGGAGGAUAUGAGUACUCGGAAUUUGUUCACUAUCAUACCUUUUUCAGCAGUUAUACCUUUCU
Crotalus tigris (Tiger rattlesnake) is the source of this 814-nucleotide long non-coding RNA. RefSeq lists it as uncharacterized. The record is from RefSeq and is a predicted model, not a curated record. NCBI's taxonomy places the organism in Eukaryota, Metazoa, Chordata, Lepidosauria, Squamata, Viperidae. The transcript is spliced from 4 exons.